This 695-nucleotide ribosomal RNA is filed under the name uncultivated soil bacterium clone C111. RNAcentral describes it as "bacterial SSU rRNA". It matches the Rfam family "Bacterial small subunit ribosomal RNA", at positions 62 to 775 of the family's 1533-position model. The record is from RNAcentral.
UCGAACGGGUCCAACUAGUGGCUACUCUAGGGAAGACUUAGUGGCGAACGGGUGAGUAACUCGUGAGGAACCUGCCCCGAACUUCGGAAUAACUCUUCGAAAGGAGAGCUAAUACCGGAUACCUUCUUACUGUCGCAUGGCAGAAAGAAGAAAGUUUUUCGGUUCGGGAGGGUCUCGCGGGCUAUCAGCUUGUUGGUGGGGUAAUGGCCUACCAAGGCGUCGACGGGUAGCUGGUCUGAGAGGAUGAUCAGCCACACUGGGACUGAGACACGGGCCAGACUCCUACGGGAGGCAGCAGUGGGGAAUCUUGCGCAAUGGGCGAAAGCCUGACGCAGGAACGCCGCGUGCGGGAUGAAGGCCCUCGGGUUAUAACCCGCUUUCAGUAGGAACGAAUCUGACGGUACCUACAGAAGAAGGUCCGGCCAACUACGUGCCAGCAGCCGCGGUAACACGUAGGGGCCAAGCGUUGUCCGGAUUUAUUGGGCGUAAAGAGCUCGUAGGCGGUUCAGCAAGUCGGGUGUGAAAACUCUGGGCUCAACCCAGAGACGCCACCCGAUACUGCUGUGACUAGAGUCCGGUAGGGGAGUGGGGAAUUCCUGGUGUAGCGGUGAAAUGCACAGAUAUCAGGAGGAACACCGGUGGCGAAGCGCCACUCUGGCCGCACUGACGCUGAGAGCGAAAGCGUGGUACAACAG